This is a long non-coding RNA of Drosophila obscura, 3061 nucleotides long. RefSeq lists it as uncharacterized. The record is from RefSeq and is a predicted model, not a curated record. The transcript has 4 exons. Lineage: Eukaryota; Metazoa; Arthropoda; Insecta; Diptera; Drosophilidae.
CUCUGCCACGAUUUCCCACGAAGAGAGAUAGAAUAACAUGGGCCCACCUGUAUAUAUUCAUUAUGAAUAUGGACUCUUGUAGAAUCCCCUCUCUGUACAAAUGAUGGGUGGAAUCGGAAGGAAAUAGCGUGGGCAAUUAUUUGAUAUAUGUAUGUAUGCACAAAGCGUUGGCUGGCAGAGAAGGGAUGAUCACAGAGCCGGGCACUGUGUGUGGCAUAUUCAAAUUCAAAUUAGAUUAUAUGCAAACACCGGCCACUCUUUCACUUGCCGUUCUUUAUUAUUAUAUUGGAAUGCCGUACAAAAACAGCAGAGUCCACGAGGAGUAUGAGGACUCGGAUUCGGAAUCGGACUCGGACUCGGACUACUAAUAUUUGCAUAAUCGCAGGCAGUAGCAGAGCCCAACCCGGACCAAGGCAACAACAAUCCAAGCAACAUGCGGCAAAGCAAUUAUUUCUUUAAAAUAAAUUGCAUGCACAAUUGGUAGCAAUAGCAAUUGCAACAACAGAAGCAGCAGCAGCAGCGGCAGCACCAGCAACAGCAAACAACAAAGUACCCAUGGAAGACCACCAAAGCAUGGAUCCACAGAGUCAGAGUCGGAAUCGGAAUCUGACCGAAUGCAGGUCCCAUCGACGAAUUUGGUCAGGACGGCUUUUUGCUGGCCAUAGAAACCGAGACAGCAGUGGAUAAGGGCGGUUCGGAGAGGCGUGGCAACUUAGCUCGUUUCUGCGAUUUGUGUGUACGCCUCAUUCGUUUAUUUGCAUAUCGAUUUGGAGUUUUUAGUCCGCCAGAACCCACUCGACCAACUUGGUCUCUGUCCGUCUGACUGUCCGUCUGUCUGUCUGUGUAUCUAACUGUCUGCCAGCUUGCCAAAAACUAUUCAUCGGAUCCUUGGCUUUAUUUUGUUUGCAGCACAAACGAUUGCAUAAUUGCCAGGCCCUCUAAAUAAUUCGAGUCUGUUUGGCCAGCAUUUAGCCUUGGGCUGCCCACUCAUAAAUUCAGAGCUCAGCAAUCUGCAAUCUCAAGUGCAAAUUCAAUUUUUAUAGCACACUUAUCCUUACUUUGAUAGUGGCUCCUCCAAUGGCGACAUUAUGUCACCCGAUAUGCUCGAUAAGCACGUGCCAUUAGCUUGAUUCCAUCAAGGAGUCCAUUUGGGCCGUGGGUGGGAGUGCAACAAUUUUCCGCUCGAACAGAAGAACACUUGGACCAAGUUUUCGAGCAGUCACGUAGCCAUAACGCGUCGGCGAGCCUCUUGACUCUGGCCUGGUCCUGCAGCAGCAGCAACAGCAGCAGCUAUAUAUGUAUGUAGUUGUUGCUGGGGAAUUGAAAACUUGAGCCACGGCCAUGACGUUGGUAGCAACUGGCCGCGCUUUGAUGUGCGCCCCAUUACCCGCACCCCAGUCGAGACGUCAAAGGUAAGGAGAGCAACAGCCAUCAUCAUCAUCAGCAACAGCAGUGAAGCAGCAGCAGUAGGAGCAGCAGUAGCAGUAGCAGCUUCAGCUUCCAGCCGCUUCGUGGCCAUCGAUUUGCAAGGCAAAUCAAAGGCUUAAUGAAUUCAUUUCAAUUAAACAAACGAAAAAGAAUCAAAUGAACAGCGAUAGACGAAUGCCAGAGACUGUCGUAGACAGUUUGCAUUAAUAAAUCGUUUAGCUGGGAGCUCCGUUUCUUAUGGGUAGAUGUACAUAUCUCCCUGCCAAUCCGUUUGAACUUGGCAUUUGGCUGGAAUCGGGGCAAAAAGCGGCCCCCAGCAGAAGCUUGUAUUAAUUGAUUCUACCAGAUCUUUGGAUCGAGAUGGGCCCCCCCGUUCGACUGACAACUAAGGAAUGAGGCUGGUGCUGGUAGCCAAAGGUUACUCGGCGUAAUGAAUUCGAAAAAGUUCAUGCUGUUGUGGAUCCAAGGAUUCCAAGAAGAUCUUACUUGUACUCGAAACAAUCAGCGGAUUAUUUGCCCAUAUUAUAUCCAAGCGUAAAUAAGUAUCUUUAAAAAUCAAUAUAUUUUUUUUAAGAACUUUAUCUGUGUAUUUCAUGAACCUUCCAGCCGCGACUUUAUUUACCAACAGCUUAACUUUAUGUGCGGGGUCAGUCACCGAGAUUUUCUGAUUUCUCCCCUUUUUGGGGCAGCAACCGACAGCCGCAUAGCUGAUAAGCCUUAAGCUGCUUAAUCGAUGACCAGAGAGUUGUCAAAAAAUAAUUCACAGGCCCGGACGCGUACUCGGAUGCGGCUGAAAGAUCUACCCUUUGGUGCUUUAAAUGGUCCUCAAUGUAGGUGGAGGAGGAGGAGCGGCAUCGAGGAGUAGGACGGGACCCCCAUUGGACGGCCAAAUCAGAGUCUCCUUGUCGGGAGCCCUUACAUGAGAAAUAUUUUAGCGUACAAUGCAGAAAUGGUAGCAGCUUCGCUGCGUUUCCUUAUCAGUUCCAGCUCCGCUGACGUAUGCACCCCAAAAAGAAGAACAAAGAAGGAGGAGGACCAGAAACAGAAACCGCGCUUGCAGAUAAUGCCACAAUGAAGACAGCAUAACGCGCCGCUGUUGAAAAAUCGCUGCAUGCGCCCGGCCGACAUCAGAUGGCGGGAGAGGAUGCGUCCACAUCAAGAUAAAUGAGCGUGCGUCUUCUUGUUGUGUUGCUGCUGCCGUUGAUGUGGAACCUGUCCCUGCCCCUGCCACUAUAAGCCGGGAAUCAAAGUUAUAAUAAUGCAUAAGUAAUUUGCAGCAGAAGCAAUCGGAGAGAGCCAUCAGCUCGUGCCACGGCUGCUCACUGCCUUGACGACAGCUAAUCCAAACCGGCCAAAACAGCACCCAACAGGGUCAGGACAGUCCUCUUCCCCCUGAAGCCAUCUCUUUCUCUCACUCCCUGCCACUUUUGGAUAGUUAUUUAUUAACUGAGAAGCACUUUAUCUGCAUAUCGUUAAAGGGAUACCAAAUAUUGGAGAACAUGUACUUUAAAAGCAAUUUUAAGAAAUGUAAAACGAAAACUGGAGCAUGUGUUAAUGCUGAGGUUUUGGUUAGCGAGAAAUCUGAUGUAUAGCAAUGGCUCAGCUGGUCCAGCAAGUGUAGUAUUUAAUAAUA